AUGGCAUCCCCGCUGCUGGUGCUACUCAAGCCAGGAACUGUCGAUGAUGCUCCGGCUUCUCCAGCUGCUCAAGCCGUGGUUCGUCAGCCUCCACCCGCUCCUGCAGUUUCAGAUGGUGCUGAGCACCUCCUCCAAGGCCCUGAACACCUAGGAGGAGGACGUCCAGAUGGUUCAUGGAGCACACUUGAGCCCACUCUGGCUGACAACAUGGUUGGCGGAAACCAGAUGCUUACCAGUUCCUCCAAAAGCUUCCCUGGGCACGUAAUUCGUGAACCUCCCCGCAGAUUAAUGGCGCCCAUGCGACGCUCCCUCGUGUCGCAGCAGGGGAAGCGACCGUGGAACUAUCUUGGGAGCUCAAGAAUGUUUCCUAACCACCCGAGUCAUGAACCCGGACAUCCUUGGAGAAGAAAGGCGCAGCCUGUAAGAUCCUGA
This 432-nucleotide ribosomal RNA is filed under the name Triticum aestivum (bread wheat). RNAcentral describes it as "partial small subunit ribosomal RNA". The record is from RNAcentral. Lineage: Eukaryota; Viridiplantae; Streptophyta; Magnoliopsida; Poales; Poaceae.